This 712-nucleotide unclassified non-coding RNA is filed under the name Hevea brasiliensis (rubber tree). The record is from RNAcentral. Lineage: Eukaryota; Viridiplantae; Streptophyta; Magnoliopsida; Malpighiales; Euphorbiaceae.
AUGGGCAAACGAACAUCCACCAAUCAUCCACCAUUGUUUUUCUUUGAUGAUCAGUUACCUCCACACCCACCGGAUCUUUUCCCCAGAAAUAAGGAUUGAUCAUGGCAAUUCCUUCAAUCUUCAGCUCUCGACCCAGUUCAGAGUCUUUAAUCCUCAAGCCAAAGUGAUGUGCCAUGUUAGCACCGCAGCUAUCUCCUGCUAAGAACACCUUCCCAUAGUCUGCAUAAUCAACGAGCCAUGGCUCGUGCCUGCCAGUACUUUCCCUGGCAUGAGAAACCACCCACUCAAGUGCAGCCCAUGAGUCCUCGUAAGCACCAGGAAGAGGGGUCUCAGGGGCUAACCUGUAGUUGACUGAUACGAGUAUGACAUUAGCCACAGCAACUAUUUUGUUGAGGCUGUGAUGGUAAUAGGGAUCAGCAGUUGAAGAUAAGUAAAAUCCUCCACCAUGAUAAUAAAUUACAAGAGGAAGUUUCUGAUUAGAUUUUGUUGAAUUGGGAAGAUAGAGUCUAGCUGAGACACCAGUUUCUGGAAUAAUCAUGGUGUCCUUAGAUAGAACACCAGUCUCAGGAUCUAAGCCUGCAGGAGCAAUACCUGUUCCAGCAACUCUCUCGAUUGUUCCAUCUUUGUACACCCUAACGUAAGGGAAGAUGAUACGAGAUAAUUCUGCUCUACUUUCCAUCUCUGAAAGUAGAAAACAGAGGAGAGGAUUGAA